AUUGAACGCUGGCGGCAUGCCUUACACAUGCAAGUCGAACGGCAGCAUGUAAGAGCUUGCUCUUCUGAUGGCGAGUGGCGAACGGGUGAGUAAAGCAUCGGAACGUACCGUGUAGUGGGGGAUAACGUAGGGAAAGUUACGCUAAUACCGCAUACCCACUGAGGUGGAAAGAAGGGGAUCGCAAGACCUUGCGCUAUACGAGCGGCCGGUGUCAGAUUAGCUAGUUGGUAGGGUAAAGGCCUACCAAGGCGACGAUCUGUAGCGGGUCUGAGAGGAUGACCCGCCACACUGGGACUGAGACACGGCCCAGACUCCUACGGGAGGCAGCAGUGGGGAAUUUUGGACAAUGGGGGAAACCCUGAUCCAGCCAUGCCGCGUGAGUGAAGAAGGCCUUCGGGUUGUAAAGCUCUUUCGGCCGGGAAGAAAUCGCACAGGCUAAUACUCUGUGUGGAUGACGGUACCAGCAAAAGAAGCACCGGCUAACUACGUGCCAGCCGCCGCCGUAA
RNAcentral lists this ribosomal RNA (506 nucleotides) under uncultured bacterium. RNAcentral describes it as "partial 16S ribosomal RNA". It matches the Rfam family "Bacterial small subunit ribosomal RNA", at positions 30 to 523 of the family's 1533-position model. The record is from RNAcentral.